Molecule: non-coding RNA, 2618 nt
Organism: Pocillopora verrucosa
Lineage: Eukaryota; Metazoa; Cnidaria; Anthozoa; Scleractinia; Pocilloporidae
Source: RefSeq, a predicted model, not a curated record
CUGCGUGGUACCUACGAUAGCUAGGUCUCAGCUAUGUCCAGUAAUCUUACAGUGAUCAAUAUGUCCCAGAUAUUUUCUAUAAGCUCACCCAACGCCUAUAGAAUAUCUGUUAGUUCAGGUGCUGACUGCUCUUCCCGUAGAACCUCAGUUUACUUUCUCCAGCCAAAGUCAGGGAGAACCUUUCCCACCAGAGAACUGCUCAAGUAUGGGAGAAGGUCAGGUAAAAACAUUACGAGCAGUUUUAAUACUGCAAAGGUAUCCCACAUGUGGUUGAAGUUAUAAAAACCCAGAGAAUAUGGUCCAACAUUUUAACUGUUUAGUGCUGAUUGGUGAGGAGAUACAGAGAGGUUUCCAUCAAAGCCAGUCACCGGUGGUCUACCGCCAUAUAUAAGACCUCUGCCAUCUGUUUAGCCUGUCUGUGAGUUUUGUCUUAAGCCUCUUUUUCGGGCACAGCUGACUGUAACAACAUGGGCAGCCGCUUGUGGAUAAAUAUUUUGAAACACCUGGAAAGGUGUUGAGAGCACAGUACUUUGACUGUUUACAUCACAAAGUAUCCAACCAUUGCUAUCCACUGUUGCUAUCUAAAUUAUAUUGUGAUACAGGACGUGUGUUCAAAAAGAGCAGCAAAAAUGGACAAGAACAUCUCGCAACAAGCCAUAUCUGAGUUGCUUGGAGCAUUGUUAUAAAUUGUGGGCCUAUUUGCUAUAACCAUAUACUUGCAGAGGUGUUUAGUUUCAUAAUAAAGGUAUUUUUCAACUGUUGUUUGCUAUGUGAGGUAAAAAUUGUACUUAGCUCUGUACUUUGGUGCAAUUCAUGUAACUGUGUUUUUUUCUUUUCACUUGUGUGCAGGAUUUUCACACUUUAGUGAGAUACUUAAACCAGUUCCCUCCUGGUGAAUUCCUACCUGCUAUGUCCAAUUUUCAUCUCCUAGUUUUUCUGGCAACUUCCAACAUCCUUCCUUUAAAGGUAAUGUUCAUUUGUUGGCUUCAAGCCUGUGAUGAGAUCACAGCUAAUGAACUGCAAAGAGAUGCUUUGUAGCCAUAAUCUGGUUUCGGCGUCAAAUCAAUAAACAGCAAAGAGAAGCUUUUAAUUCUUUCUUGAAUAAACCCAGGGCCAGGUUGUAAGUGUGAAAUCUGAUUUCAGAUCUGAAAGUUUUUGAAGAAAAUUCAGUCGAAUUUCUUUUUGUCUAGAAUAUGACUAUUUGACGCUGUAAAAAGAACACAGAAAAUUAUUCCAAAAAUGCUUUUGAACAAAGGAAAAAAGAAAUACAGAUUGCAAUUUAACCUUGGGUUAGUGCUAAUCAGCUCUUGAACAACUGGGCCCAGAACCAUAGCAACUGCUAAGGCAAGGGGAAGAUACAAAGGCAACAUAAUAAGCCAGUAUGAACUGGAGUGAUGAACAAAGUGACAAGCUCUAAGCAGGAGGAGGAUGUGGCUGUAAACUUGAUCAGAGGAUUCUGACCACUCACAAUGUAGCAUAACCCUUUACACCCUAACAUCAGUAUGCAUAUUCUCCAUACUGUUCUGUAAACAUUUCCUAAGAUGCUGACAUGGAGAAUUUGUCCAACAAUCAAGAGCUUCUUAAGUAGGUGAUCAGCUCCUUUAUUCUCCUGACCUUAAUGUUUGAUUCAGGCGUGAUAUGGUAAGGAGAAAUUAGAUGCCAGUCACUCUCAGAGGUUCAAGGGUAAAAAAGCCUGAAUCAAUCUGUAGCUUGCACAACGGAGGGAAAAAUCAGCCAGGCUGGAUUCAAUUACUUCUUCUUGUACUAAAUUUAUGUAGAGGUUUUCAUGUCUCACUUCUGUUGAUUAUUUGUGUUGUGGCAGGAUCACUUAGGAGAUCUGUGUACGGCAAUCAGAAACAAAGAUGUUGAAUUGGCUUGGCGCUGGAGUAAAAGUGAACAGUGGUGCAAAGUGAUACAACUUAUGCAAGCUGCAAAGGCCCCCUCACCAGAGCCACAAGGAUCAGGGGAGGUGGACAUGGUUGAUACGUCCCAUUCCCCCAGUGGUGCAGGCUGGUCGUGCAAGCACUGUACGUUUAUGAACCAACACAGACACGAGAACUGUGAUAUGUGUGGCUUGCCUCAACACUGAGAAAACUGAUUAAAAGUUUGUUGGAAAUCAUUAUUGCUAAAAGUCAAGAUGAAACUGCAGGACAGACAACAAGACACAGAAUUCAGAUAAUUGUCUAGUUCGGCUCCGCUGAACAUAUUUUGGCUUUUUGAGAAGUUCCGCUAAGAACGUUUCUAUUUUAUCGCCAGCGGAAUUGUUAACGACACCAUUGAAAAUACAUCUCUACUUCUCUACACCACAUUUAACUGAAAAAUAAUUUCUGAUACCAGCAGGCGAAACAGCGCGUGCUGAAACCAAUGAAGAUAUUUCAGACGUUGAUCUACUGGUGUGGUGCUUUAUACAGUGAAUGAAAGGGUGUGACAGAGAUGUUUUGUGGAACCAAAUAAAGCAGUCAUUGUUUCUGAGAUUUACAAGCUGUACUCACAAUUUAGAACAUGCUUUACGAUAGAGCAUUUAAAGAUUAUCAAGUCCUUUGAAUAGUAAGGAUGAAGGUGUGGUCUUUCCUAUUUUAUCGUUUUUUGCUUCUUCAUAAAAAAACCCACGAAAUCGA